GGGAAAUGAGAGCUGGGUCUGGGACAAGACCCAUCCCAAGCUAAGGUGAAGUAGGCUCA
Camelus ferus (Wild Bactrian camel) is the source of this 59-nucleotide regulatory RNA element. It matches the Rfam family "Ma3 gene ribosomal frameshift signal". Lineage: Eukaryota; Metazoa; Chordata; Mammalia; Artiodactyla; Camelidae. The record is from Rfam.